This 1786-nucleotide long non-coding RNA is filed under the name Homo sapiens (human). RNAcentral's name for it is "HSALNT0325890". Lineage: Eukaryota; Metazoa; Chordata; Mammalia; Primates; Hominidae. The record is from RNAcentral.
ACAUGUGCAGGACGUGCAGGUUUGCUACAUAGGUAAAGCCAUUGAAGCACAUUGAGACAAGAGGUUUGUCUGAAGUCAUGGAGGGGGGUUGCAGAAGAGUGAGAUCUAAAACCUUGGUUUUUGGGCAUCCCCCUAUUUCUAUUUUAUUUCCAUUAUUACACACUGGCUUCCAAAUGAAUAGAAUAAGUUUAGAAGGAUUAGGCCAAGAAUUUUAAACAGGUUUAAAAUUUAAAGACUUUAUUUGGACUUUAUCCUGGACGUUAUUUAAAGAUUGUGGGAACUGAUUUUAGUUAAUAUUGAAUAGAGCAUGUGUUAAAUGAAUGUAUGUGAAUAUGCACGAAAUGCAUUAAGCUUCAGUUUCAGGUUUUUUUCAAGGUAGGAGGGAAAGAAAGAUGUAGAGUCCUGCUAUUACCCUAAUUUAUGAUGUUUACUUAUUCCUACCUAUCUGACUAAUGCUCCUUUUGUUCUCUUUAUAAUUCUCAGUUUGUAUCUACUACCUCUGUCCCCCCAAGAGCUGCAAACAUUAGCUGAUUAAUACUCAGUCUUCUUAGCUGCUGUGAUCAGUAGAAGUAAUCUCUCAUAGCAUGUUGAUAUCUAAAUCAACAUAAUAUAUCUAAAUCACCUUUGCUAAUCUGUUGGAAUUUGCUUAGUGUUUCCUGAGCUUAUAUCUCCACUACCACAAUAUGUUUGGAAAAAGAAGUACCCAGGACAUAAAGAUAUGAGAAUUCAAUUCUGUAAAAGAGAAUAGAUUUCACUUUUGCAGUUUGAAACGUUUCAUCAAAGUCUUUUUUAAAAAAGUUUUGUUUUCUUUUUUUUCCAGUUCAAGUUAUUCUGAAGAGAGUUUUUCCACAUACAAACUGCCAACUUGGCCAUUUUCCUAUCUAUCUAUCUAUCUAUCUAUCUAUCUAUCUAUCCACCCAUGCAUAUAUUUUUGUUCUUUUUUUUUUUUUUUUUUUUUUUUUGAGACAGAGUCUUGCUCUGUUGCCCAGGCUGGAGUGCAGUGACAUGAUCUUGGCUCACUGCAACCUCCGCCUCCCAGGUUCAAACAAUUUUACUGCCUCAGCUUCAUGAGUAGCUGGGAUUAGCAGUGCCUGCCAUCACACCCGGCUAAUUUUUGUAUUUUUAGCAGAGAAGGGGUUUCGCCAUGUUGCUCAGGCUGGUCUGGAACUCCUGACCUCAAGUGAUCCACUUGCUUUGGCCUCCCAAAGUGGUGGGAUUACAGGCAUGAGCCACCACACCAGGCCCAUUUUCCAUUAUAUUUAAUACUCUCUUUUUUCUCCUCACCCAAAUAACAUAGGAGAAGGGAAAAAACCCUUGAGGCUAGAAAGAGAAGUAAUAUUUUGGAAAUCUCUGUGGUUCAGCGGUAUGUUAUCUUGCAAUUUAAAGUGUCAUUUGAUUUAUUUUUUGAAGACUAUGUUAUGGACUGAAUGUUUGUGUUUCUCCCACUAAAUUCAUAUGUUGAAAUCCUAACCCCCAAUGUGAUGGUAUUAGAGAAUGGGGUUUUGGAAGGUAAUUAGAUUAUGGAGGUGUAGGUCUCAUGAAAGGAUUAAUGCUCUUAUAAAAGGGACCCCAGAGAGAACUCAUUCACCUUCUUUCCAACGGGUGCGGGUACAGAAGUCUGCAGCCUGCACACGGAAGAGGACCCUCACCAGAGCCUGACCUUGCUGGCACCCUGAUCUUGGACUUCUGGCCUCCAGAACAUUGAGAGAGUGACAUUAAGCAGAUCUGAUGCUAACAUUGUGGCAGUAGCCCUGAUGAGGAAAGUGGCAGAUCUAGGGAGCAAUGC